CUAGGCCUUCUGGGAAUAGUUGUAAGGAAGUAGUUGUUUCCGGACAUCGAUCUGCGUCUUCCUUGGUCGAUUUGAGAAAUAAUGUUUUCCUGGGGAGAAGUAAGGUUUAUCUGUGCCGGUAGCUGGGAUUUAUCUUUUCCUUUUAUGGUAGAAAAAAAAGAGCAUUUUUAAACCUUUCGUGAAGACGGCCUGCUUUAAUUAGAUCAGACUUUAAAGGAGCUCUUCAUAUUGUGAUGCUGGAAAAAGACUCUCCACAUUGGAAUAAGAAUUUAAUACAGAAUUUACCAGUAAUAUAAAUUGUUCAAUGCAUCUCCAAGAUGUUUGGCGGCAACAACUCUUGAAAUGUAAAAACCGAACAAGGAAGGCCCCGCUGGGAUUCGAACCCAGGAUCUCCUGUUUACUAGACAGGCGCUUUGACCAGCUAAGCCACAGGGCCGCUUUUCUAACUAAGAUUCAGUUAUAUCGUAUUUGUAAUAUUUUCUGUGAAAUGCAGCAUUUUGACAGAAAUGUACAUGAUUUCUUGACAAAGAGAACGAAUCUACAUUUCCAAACCAUAUUUCUAUACGAAAGCAGAAACUUCAACAUAUAAAAAAUAAUGCAUUCUUCAGUGCGAGGUUUUAAAAAUUACUUUACAUUGGAGUGAAAUUCCUAUUUCAUGGUGACUUUCGCCCUCUAGAGGAAAUAUUGGAUAUUGCCACACAUUAAAAAAUUUUAUCCAUUAAUUCAUUUUGUUCACAAAUGUGGUCACUAUUGUACCUCAGGUAAUUUACUGGGUACUGAAGAUAGAACAGUGAACAAAACAAACAAAAACUUCUUCAUCUUUAAGAUUUAUAUUCUAGAAACAAAUAAAUAAAGUGAGUUUUAAAAACUUCCCCUCCAAACAAAUGAGAGACAUAAGCACCAGUUCCCCAAUCUCCAGGUUACAGACUCCAUGAAGCUACUUUCUGAGCUAAUUCACUGCACAAGAGCAAGACUACCAUGCUUCCUUCGAUUUUAUCUGACCUGGCACAAGCAAGCAAGCAAAGAUAAGGACACACUGAUGCAGAGAAGAUUCUGCUCACUGCACCGAGAAGCACUGAAGGCUUAUGCAUUCACUGAGCACCCACAAAAUGAAAGACCCUGGAGAACAGAGAAAUCACUGAGACCCUGUGACAAAUCUACGUGAUUUCCUCUGGGCACCCACCAGCUCUUCUCUGCCAGGGUAGCCUGUACCUAAACUACUCACCCUUUCUUACAACAAGAUUUAUUCAUUUCCUUUGUCCUUAUGUCCUGCUGCCAUUCCUCUCCUUACAUAAACAAGUUUUCUAAUUUG
Bubalus bubalis (water buffalo) is the source of this 1312-nucleotide long non-coding RNA. RefSeq lists it as uncharacterized. The transcript has 3 exons. The record is from RefSeq and is a predicted model, not a curated record. NCBI's taxonomy places the organism in Eukaryota, Metazoa, Chordata, Mammalia, Artiodactyla, Bovidae.